Molecule: long non-coding RNA, 884 nt
Organism: Asparagus officinalis (garden asparagus)
Lineage: Eukaryota; Viridiplantae; Streptophyta; Magnoliopsida; Asparagales; Asparagaceae
Exons: 4
Source: RefSeq, a predicted model, not a curated record
UCAUCUUCCCCCUUUUCAAAAAGCCCUAAAAAUAGAAAUCGAUCGCCGUUGGUCGCCGUCGCCCGUCGUGAAGCCGACGUCGCUGUCUCCAUCGACCUUUUAGCUACCCCGUCGCCUCGUUUUCGCCCAAUCGUCGCCUCGCUUCCUUCCUAGUCGUCGUCGUCGUUGAUCUCGUCAUCGAUCUCGCAGUCCCCUUGUCGCCGACGCAUCUCACAGUCGCUAUCCCAGUCAUCAUUCCAGUCGAACUCGCAACCCUUUCCGAUCGUCGCCCGCCGCGGUCCCAGUCAUCAUCGCUGUUUAUCUCGCCGUUGCCGUCGAUCUCGCCGUUUGAGGAUUUUUUUUAAACUUUUGCCGUGUGUUCAAACAAAGGGCAUACACAUAUGUAGUCCAUUGGGAACCAGAUGCAUCAAUGAAAAUAACCCGUCGAGUGUGGAUCGAAUGUUUAAGCCAAUAACGACUACUCGAUUCCAAGAACUUGAUAAGAUUAUUUUCCCACUCCUAACUUCAUUUCAUUGGCAUAUGUUGGUAUUCUCUGUAAAGGCUAUAAGAUUUCAUGUAAAGGCAUAUGUUGGUAUUCUCUGUAAAGGCUAGAAGAUUGCGGGGUGUUCUUGAUGGCAUACAUGUUUAGCCUCGUUUCCGGUCAACCAAUGUCAAUUAACCAAAAGGAUUGUGCAAGACAUAGAGCUCGUAUCGUUGCUCUAUUUCUACCUGAAGGAAAUCAACAUGAUCCUCAAGACCAAUUCCCCGGAUGUUAGAUGCUAAUUGUGAUAUCCAAUAUUUGUUUUGUAAAGUAUUUGUAUAAUUAUACUUUUGGGUCGUUGUAUAUAGUUUGUCAAAUGCAUUUGAAUUUGAAUGGCUGUUGUAGUGAGGUUUUUGAGUCUGCA